Molecule: RNase P RNA, 372 nt
Filed under: Acidobacteriota bacterium
Lineage: Bacteria; Pseudomonadati; Acidobacteriota
Description: RNase P RNA component class A
Rfam family: Bacterial RNase P class A
About the family: Ribonuclease P (RNase P) is a ubiquitous endoribonuclease, found in archaea, bacteria and eukarya as well as chloroplasts and mitochondria. Its best characterised activity is the generation of mature 5'-ends of tRNAs by cleaving the 5'-leader elements of precursor-tRNAs.
Source: RNAcentral
GGAGCGGAUCGGAGGAUCGCCGCGCCGCAAGGCGUGGAGGAAAGUCCGAACUCCAACGGGCAGCAGGCUGGAUAACGUCCAGGCGCGGAAACGCGACGGAAAGUGCAACAGAGAAUAGACCGCCGAACUAUUGCCGCAAGGCGAUGGAGGCAAGGGUGAAACGGUGCGGUAAGAGCGCACCGCGUCCCGCGAGAGCGGCGACGGCAAGGCAAACCCCCUGCGGAGCAAGACCAAAUAGGGAAGCGAUGGAACCGCCCGUUUCCGCUACAAGCUUCCGGGUAGGUUGCUCGAUCACCGCGGCAACGCGAGUGACAGAUGAAUGAUCCUCGCCCGCGAGGGAAACAAAAUUCGGCUUACAGAUCCGCUCCACAC